This 209-nucleotide ribosomal RNA is filed under the name uncultured bacterium. RNAcentral describes it as "partial 16S ribosomal RNA". It matches the Rfam family "Bacterial small subunit ribosomal RNA", at positions 568 to 776 of the family's 1533-position model. The record is from RNAcentral.
CGUGUAGCCGGGCCGACAAGUCAGAUGUGAAAUCCGCGGGCUUAACCCGCGAACUGCAUUUGAAACUGUUGGUCUUGAGUAUCGGAGAGGUAAUCGGAAUUCCUAGUGUAGCGGUGAAAUGCGUAGAUAUUAGGAAGAACACCAGUGGCGAAGGCGGAUUACUGGACGACAACUGACGGUGAGGCGCGAAAGCGUGGGGAGGCAAAACA